UACGUAGGGGGCAAGCGUUGUCCGGAAUUAUUGGGCGUAAAGCGCGUGUAGGCGGCCAGGUAGGUCUGCUGUGAAAACUCGAGGCUCAACUUCGAGAUGUCGGCGGAAACCAUCUGGCUAGAGUCCGGAAGAGGAGAGUGGAAUUCCUGGUGUAGCGGUGAAAUGCGCAGAUAUCAGGAAGAACACCCGUGGCGAAGGCAGCCUUCUGGGCCAACACUGACGCUCAUGCACGAAAGCGUGGGGAGCAAACAGG
Molecule: ribosomal RNA, 253 nt
Filed under: uncultured bacterium
Lineage: Bacteria
Description: partial 16S ribosomal RNA
Rfam family: Bacterial small subunit ribosomal RNA
Source: RNAcentral